Molecule: long non-coding RNA, 213 nt
Organism: Bufo bufo (common toad)
Lineage: Eukaryota; Metazoa; Chordata; Amphibia; Anura; Bufonidae
Exons: 3
Source: RefSeq, a predicted model, not a curated record
AGCUCUGACUGCCACUAUUGUGCCAAGUCCCAAAGCCUGCCAUAAAAGAAAGAUCCAUACAUAUUGACACUUCAGGCCAUCAUACCAGCCAAAUGCAACUGACAAGUUAUUGUGAUGGGAAAAAUAUGCGUCACUGGCAUAGUGUUUAAUGUAGAAUAGUUUAUUUUCUUCCUGUUUAAAGGCCAUUGAAAAGCAUUUACAGUUUCCCCAAGU